Molecule: long non-coding RNA, 742 nt
Filed under: Homo sapiens (human)
Lineage: Eukaryota; Metazoa; Chordata; Mammalia; Primates; Hominidae
Description: HSALNT0292777
Source: RNAcentral
AACUUUUGAUGCAGCAACUCCACUUCUAAGAAUUUAUUCUGUGGAAAUAAUUUCAAAUGUGCCCAAAGACUUAUUCAAUAUGAUGUGUAUCCCAGUUGAUGUUUAUAAUGUUAAGAAAUUGGAAAUCCUCACUAAGCAACUGAUUGAGUUGAAUACAGUCACAGGAUCCAAUAUGGGACACUGGUGCACACCAGAAGAGUCCUUGCCAGAAAGGGAAGACUGUGAGGUCCAUGAGGCAGAAGAAGCCCUCAGAGGAAUCCCUCCUGCUGGCCUCCGUUGUAAGAGCAUUCAUCACAAUUUGGAAGCACUGUUGUUCUCUCUUAUCCACGGUUUCAGUUAUGCAAGGUCAAUCGCAGUCUGAAAAUAGACACAGGGAUCACAUUUACGAAGGGAUCUUUCAAGAGCCUCAAAAGCAGGACUACUUCAUGAGCCAACUCGUAGUGACAAGCCCUGCCCCUGCAAGUGAGAAGGGGGGCGCUUCCAAAUCAAGCACCAUUUGUCAAGCCUUUCUCUGGAAUGGACCGAAUAUGGAAUAACAUGGACAUGUCUGAUGCACAUCUGGAGAUGGGACGGCAGCGCAUAAUACUUCCUGGAACUGCGAGACAAUGGGGUUGUCUUUUGACAUUGAGGCAGGUUAUUAAAUAGAAGUGUGAACUAUUAAGAGAUGAUCUUGACCCUCAAUACAUUUUUAUCAAAGUCAAAAAAUAUUUGACACCACUGAACAGCUUAUCACAGGCACAAA